RNAcentral lists this ribosomal RNA (165 nucleotides) under uncultured bacterium. RNAcentral's name for it is "partial 16S ribosomal RNA". It matches the Rfam family "Bacterial small subunit ribosomal RNA", at positions 355 to 509 of the family's 1533-position model. The record is from RNAcentral.
UAGGGAAUUUUCGUCAAUGGGCGCAAGCCUGAACGAGCAAUGCCGCGUGAGUGAGGAAGGUCUUCGGACUGUAAAGCUCUGUUGGACCGGGGAAAAAGGGGAGAUGCAGGAAAUGGCAUUUCAUGGAUGGUACCCCGGCCAGAAAGCCACGGCUAACUACGUGCC